RNAcentral lists this ribosomal RNA (253 nucleotides) under uncultured bacterium. Its description in RNAcentral is "partial 16S ribosomal RNA". It matches the Rfam family "Bacterial small subunit ribosomal RNA", at positions 524 to 776 of the family's 1533-position model. The record is from RNAcentral.
UACGAAGGGGGCUAGCGUUGUUCGGAAUCACUGGGCGUAAAGGGAGCGUAGGCGGCCGAUCAAGUCGGGGGUGAAAGCCUGUGGCUUAACCACAGAAUGGCCUUCGAUACUGUUUGGCUUGAGACCGGAAGAGGUUAGUGGAACUGCGAGUGUAGAGGUGAAAUUCGUAGAUAUUCGCAAGAACACCAGUGGCGAAGGCGGCUGACUGGUCCGGUUCUGACGCUGAGGCGCGAAAGCGUGGGGAGCAAACAGG